AUUGAACGCUGGCGGUAUGCUUUACACAUGCAAGUCGAACGGCAGCACGGGGCAACCUGGUGGCGAGUGGCGAACGGGUGAGUAACAUAUCGGAACAUGUCCGGAAGUGGGGGAUAACGUACCGAAAGGUACGCUAAUACCGCAUAUGCCCUGAGGGGGAAAGGGGGGGAUCGCAAGACCUCUCGCUUUCGGAGUGGCCGAUAUCGGAUUAGCUAGUAGGUGAGGUAAAGGCUCACCUAGGCGACGAUCCGUAGCUGGUCUGAGAGGGCGACCAGCCACACUGGAACUGAGACACGGUCCAGACUCCUACGGGAGGCAGCAGUGGGGAAUUUUGGACAAUGGGCGCAAGCCUGAUCCAGCCAUACCGCGUGAGUGAAGAAGGCCUUCGGGUUGUAAAGCUCUUUCAGCCGGAAAGAAAUCGCACUGGUUAAUACCUUGUGUGGAUGACGGUACCGGAAGAAGAAGCACCGGCCAACUACAUGCCAGCAGCCGCGGUAA
This 498-nucleotide ribosomal RNA is filed under the name uncultured bacterium. Its description in RNAcentral is "partial 16S ribosomal RNA". It matches the Rfam family "Bacterial small subunit ribosomal RNA", at positions 30 to 523 of the family's 1533-position model. The record is from RNAcentral.